RNAcentral lists this ribosomal RNA (253 nucleotides) under uncultured bacterium. RNAcentral describes it as "partial 16S ribosomal RNA". It matches the Rfam family "Bacterial small subunit ribosomal RNA", at positions 524 to 776 of the family's 1533-position model. The record is from RNAcentral.
UACAGAGGGUGCAAGCGUUAAUCGGAAUUACUGGGCGUAAAGCGUGCGUAGAUGGUUAUGUAAGUCGGAUGUGAAAGCCCCGGGCUCAACCUGGGAAUUGCAUUCGAGACUGCAUAGCUAGGAUGCGGAAGAGGGAAGCGGAAUUUCCGGUGUAGCGGUGAAAUGCGUAGAUAUCGGAAGGAACACCAGUGGCGAAAGCGGCUUCCUGGUCCAGCAUCGACGUUCAGGCACGAAAGCGUGGGGAGCAAACAGG